UAGACUCAAACAAGAAGAAGUCACCUCAGGUAUUUGCUUUGCAGCGUGCCUUUUCUCACCUGAGAGAUGGCCCACCCAAGCUACAUUAACAAGAAUCACUUGCUUUUGAGCUGUUGUUUUCCAUCGACCCUGGAGUUCUCAUCUGAAAAAUGAGAUAUGUGUGGUGUGUGUGUGUCAGAAUGUGUGUGGGGCCCUUUGCAAUGCUUAAUUCUUCUGAAAUGGCAGGAAAAAGUUGACAAGAAAAGUGUUUGCCAUGCAUAGAAGACAGAAAAUAUGUCUGGUGUCAUGUUCUCUGAGGGUUAUGGACUGAAGCUUCGACUAAGGAAGAUUAUGAACAAAGGCCAAUAUCCACAGAGGAGUGAAGCUAAAGUUGUUCAUGGAGGCCAACCAUCCUGCCAGAGAGCUAGAAGAUCCACUGUGAGAAAAUGUUAACAUCCUUUCUUGAAAUACCAGUCCCAUCAAGUGCUGUGGGGGCACGAAACUCCUGCAGAAAUUGUUUGGAAUAGAAAAAAUCUGCAAUCUCUGUUGAAAAUCAAGUUUUUGAGUAGAAAAAUAAAUAGAGAAAAAACAACCUGUCCUAAAAUAAUAAAAAUAAGCCUCUGUUAUUGUCUGUGUAUGAGAUCCCAUUGAAUUUCAACAGCAUACAAUAUUUGAAAAAUGUUUUAUAACUGAAAUCAUUUGGCACAAAAAUAGCCCUAAUAACAGAUGAAACAUUUUUAGAGGGCUUGUUUUAAAAUUCACAAGGUCCAAAAGUUUAUUUGACAUUUAAGGAAUAAAUGCCGUGAUUGUGAAGGUCAUGUUAUUGUUUUUUUUAAAAAAAAAAAAGCUAAUCAUAUAUUUAACUCAUUCUAAAUGUCAGACAACUCCUUCCAAAUGAGAUGCCAAAACUACUUUUUUCUACAUUUGAGAGCUUUAGUUUUCUUCCUACUACCCUAUCACAGUGUAAAUUGUAUGAAGUUUUACCCCCCAAGGCCAGAAUAAAAUCCCUCUAUUUAGCAUUGGACUGGUUUAAAUUAUUUGCUAUUUCUCAUAGACUUACUUUGGAUAAUUGAGGUGUCUCUCAUAUUUUGUUGGUUGAACGCUCUGUAAUUUUUUCAAGAGAAUACAUUUCAAAAUGUACUUUUGAAAUUUGUUCUCAAUGCACCUGGUACAAAUUUAAUUUAGAUGGGGUGUUGUGUCUCUUAUUGCUGUCAAGCUGAGAGGUAUGGUGUGAUUCUGGUGACAUAGUUGUGUAUGUUCUCAUGAAGAUGGAGUUCAGUCUACAUGUUCAAAUAAUUUCAAUUAAACAGUGUAAAUGUGAUCCUUAUAAAUUUACUGUAUAUAAUUUACUGUAUAUACUGUAUGACUUGGAAGCCAUUAAAUAGUUUCAAUCAAAAAUUGCAUAAAGAAAACUUAAAGCAAUUAACCACCAUAAAGAUUUAUAAGUACAAAUAUUUGUAAAAUUAUAUAUUAAUAAAUAUAUUGCAAGAUAAAUAUUUUAUACAAUCUCAGACAUCAGAAGACUUGAUUCA
Non-coding RNA from Anas platyrhynchos (mallard), 1511 nucleotides. NCBI's taxonomy places the organism in Eukaryota, Metazoa, Chordata, Aves, Anseriformes, Anatidae. The record is from RefSeq and is a predicted model, not a curated record.